GGGUUGUGAGGUUAAGCGACUAAGCGUACACGGUGGAUGCCCUGGCAGUCAGAGGCGAUGAAGGACGUGCUAAUCUGCGAUAAGCGUCGGUAAGGUGAUAUGAACCGUUAUAACCGGCGAUUUCCGAAUGGGGAAACCCAGUGUGUUUCGACACACUAUCAUUAACUGAAUCCAUAGGUUAAUGAGGCGAACCGGGGGAACUGAAACAUCUAAGUACCCCGAGGAAAAGAAAUCAACCGAGAUUCCCCCAGUAGCGGCGAGCGAACGGGGAGCAGCCCAGAGCCUGAAUCAGUGUGUGUGUUAGUGGAAGCGUCUGGAAAGGCGCGCGAUACAGGGUGACAGCCCCGUACACAAAAAUGCACAUACUGUGAGCUCGAUGAGUAGGGCGGGACACGUGGUAUCCUGUCUGAAUAUGGGGGGACCAUCCUCCAAGGCUAAAUACUCCUGACUGACCGAUAGUGAACCAGUACCGUGAGGGAAAGGCGAAAAGAACCCCGGCGAGGGGAGUGAAAAAGAACCUGAAACCGUGUACGUACAAGCAGUGGGAGCCUCUUAAUGGGGUGACUGCGUACCUUUUGUAUAAUGGGUCAGCGACUUAUAUUCUGUAGCAAGGUUAACCGAAUAGGGGAGCCGAAGGGAAACCGAGUCUUAACUGGGCGUUAAGUUGCAGGGUAUAGACCCGAAACCCGGUGAUCUAGCCAUGGGCAGGUUGAAGGUUGGGUAACACUAACUGGAGGACCGAACCGACUAAUGUUGAAAAAUUAGCGGAUGACUUGUGGCUGGGGGUGAAAGGCCAAUCAAACCGGGAGAUAGCUGGUUCUCCCCGAAAGCUAUUUAGGUAGCGCCUCGUGAAUUCAUCUCCGGGGGUAGAGCACUGUUUCGGCAAGGGGGUCAUCCCGACUUACCAACCCGAUGCAAACUGCGAAUACCGGAGAAUGUUAUCACGGGAGACACACGGCGGGUGCUAACGUCCGUCGUGAAGAGGGAAACAACCCAGACCGCCAGCUAAGGUCCCAAAGUCAUGGUUAAGUGGGAAACGAUGUGGGAAGGCCCAGACAGCCAGGAUGUUGGCUUAGAAGCAGCCAUCAUUUAAAGAAAGCGUAAUAGCUCACUGGUCGAGUCGGCCUGCGCGGAAGAUGUAACGGGGCUAAACCAUGCACCGAAGCUGCGGCAGCGACGCUUAUGCGUUGUUGGGUAGGGGAGCGUUCUGUAAGCCUGCGAAGGUGUGCUGUGAGGCAUGCUGGAGGUAUCAGAAGUGCGAAUGCUGACAUAAGUAACGAUAAAGCGGGUGAAAAGCCCGCUCGCCGGAAGACCAAGGGUUCCUGUCCAACGUUAAUCGGGGCAGGGUGAGUCGACCCCUAAGGCGAGGCCGAAAGGCGUAGUCGAUGGGAAACAGGUUAAUAUUCCUGUACUUGGUGUUACUGCGAAGGGGGGACGGAGAAGGCUAUGUUGGCCGGGCGACGGUUGUCCCGGUUUAAGCGUGUAGGCUGGUUUUCCAGGCAAAUCCGGAAAAUCAAGGCUGAGGCGUGAUGACGAGGCACUACGGUGCUGAAGCAACAAAUGCCCUGCUUCCAGGAAAAGCCUCUAAGCAUCAGGUAACAUCAAAUCGUACCCCAAACCGACACAGGUGGUCAGGUAGAGAAUACCAAGGCGCUUGAGAGAACUCGGGUGAAGGAACUAGGCAAAAUGGUGCCGUAACUUCGGGAGAAGGCACGCUGAUAUGUAGGUGAAGCGACUUGCUCGUGGAGCUGAAAUCAGUCGAAGAUACCAGCUGGCUGCAACUGUUUAUUAAAAACACAGCACUGUGCAAACACGAAAGUGGACGUAUACGGUGUGACGCCUGCCCGGUGCCGGAAGGUUAAUUGAUGGGGUUAGCGGUAACGCGAAGCUCUUGAUCGAAGCCCCGGUAAACGGCGGCCGUAACUAUAACGGUCCUAAGGUAGCGAAAUUCCUUGUCGGGUAAGUUCCGACCUGCACGAAUGGCGUAAUGAUGGCCAGGCUGUCUCCACCCGAGACUCAGUGAAAUUGAACUCGCUGUGAAGAUGCAGUGUACCCGCGGCAAGACGGAAAGACCCCGUGAACCUUUACUAUAGCUUGACACUGAACAUUGAGCCUUGAUGUGUAGGAUAGGUGGGAGGCUUUGAAGUGUGGACGCCAGUCUGCAUGGAGCCG
Molecule: ribosomal RNA, 2172 nt
Filed under: Escherichia coli
Lineage: Bacteria; Pseudomonadati; Pseudomonadota; Gammaproteobacteria; Enterobacterales; Enterobacteriaceae
Description: partial 23S ribosomal RNA
Rfam family: Bacterial large subunit ribosomal RNA
Source: RNAcentral